Molecule: transfer RNA, 72 nt
Filed under: Loxodonta africana (African savanna elephant)
Lineage: Eukaryota; Metazoa; Chordata; Mammalia; Proboscidea; Elephantidae
Rfam family: tRNA
About the family: Transfer RNA (tRNA) molecules are approximately 80 nucleotides in length. Their secondary structure includes four short double-helical elements and three loops (D, anti-codon, and T loops).
Source: Rfam by way of RNAcentral
GGGGAUGUAGCUCAGUGGUAGAGCGCAGGCUGUGCAUGUAUGAGGCCUUGGGUUCGAUCCCUGGCAUCUCCA